GCCAGCAUGGCUCAGGGGUUGAGCAUCUACCUAUGAACCAGGAGGUCAGGGUUCGAUUCCCAGUCAGGGCA
Myotis davidii is the source of this 71-nucleotide non-coding RNA. NCBI's taxonomy places the organism in Eukaryota, Metazoa, Chordata, Mammalia, Chiroptera, Vespertilionidae. The record is from Rfam.